UACGUAGGGUGCGAGCGUUAAUCGGAAUUACUGGGCGUAAAGCGUGCGCAGGCGGUUCGUUGUGUCGGUGGUGAAAUCCCCGGGCUUAACCUGGGAAUGGCCAUGGAAACUGGCGAACUGGAGUGCGGCAGAGGGGGGUGGAAUUCCGCGUGUAGCAGUGAAAUGCGUAGAGAUGUGGAGGAACACCGAUGGCGAAGGCAGCCCCCUGGGCUGAGAUUGACGCUCAGGCACGAAAGCGUGGGGAGCAAACAGG
Molecule: ribosomal RNA, 253 nt
Filed under: uncultured bacterium
Lineage: Bacteria
Description: partial 16S ribosomal RNA
Rfam family: Bacterial small subunit ribosomal RNA
Source: RNAcentral